Apis cerana (Asiatic honeybee) is the source of this 2634-nucleotide long non-coding RNA. RefSeq lists it as uncharacterized. The record is from RefSeq and is a predicted model, not a curated record. NCBI's taxonomy places the organism in Eukaryota, Metazoa, Arthropoda, Insecta, Hymenoptera, Apidae.
CGCGAGACUGUAACAGAACAAAUAUCAAUCGGCGAUAAACUCUUGCAUAUUUAACAAAUAGGGAGGAAAGAUAAUCAUAUACGUGUAUAUCAUGACCAAGAUUAAUUCUUGGGCCCGAUAUAUUCAUUCUCUCCCUCGACUUUUACUUUCUUCCACUCUUUCUCCAAAUAUUUCCGUCCAGUGUGCCACGACUUUCUCGCGUCUCCUGUGCGACGUGCGCAUUCUUGCGUGUUCAAUUACCGGGGAACGUUCAACUUUCCUCCGUCUAUACUCGAUGUACUCGACGGACGGUCCGAGAUAAUUCAUCCGGUUGGAAUUUGCGGAGGAUCGCGAAGAGGAGAGGAGAAACGCGCGAGAGAAGCAAGCAAGCAAGCAUGGGGGAGGGAGAGAGAGAGAGAGAGAGUGGUGAAUUCGAGCUACUGAAACCCAACGAGCAGUCCAUCCCUUGUCAGUUGGCGAAGGGCUGUCAAGAACGGACACGUCCGAUCGGGACAAAAGCAGCGAUUUAUCCCGGCAAAGUGCUACGUCAUCGAGCACGGGAGGUCCGACGAUGAAGUCCCGAAUUAUUAUUAUGUCUGUGAGAACGUAUUCUCAUCCUGUCAGACAGUGCUCGCUUCGAGAAAGAAAUACCACUUGAGACAUCAAACACCCAACGAAUUUGUUUAGCGCGCACUCUCGAAAAAUCGAUCUGGAAAUUCGUGAUUUAGGAAUUCUUGGAGAUAUUUGAAGGAAGCUACCGUUUGUUAUAACACGUUGCUAGAUGUUUUGUCGCAGUUCGGUUUAAAUUUCUUUUUUUUUUCGGGUUUAUAUACUGAAACUUGAGGAGAUAUUAAGAGGGAUAGAAAGAAAAUGGCGAAAAUUGGAAGAACAGGCAGGAUCUAUACCGGAUUCUCCAAAAUCUGGAAAUUCAGUAUUUAGAAAUUUUUGGAGAUAUUUGAUUGAGAUAUUUUGUUGCAAUUUGUUCUAUUUAAGUUUCUUUUUUUUUCAGGUUUAUAUACUGAAACUUGAGAAAAUAUUAAGAGGAAUAGAAAGAAAAUGGCGAAAAUGGUUGCAAGGAGUGGCAGUAUUAUCUAUACCAGAUUCUCCAAAAUCUGGAAAUUCACUAUUUAGAAAUUUUUGGAGAUAUUUGAUUGAAAUAUUUCCUAGAUAUUUUAUUGUAAUUUGUUUUAAAUUUCUUCUUUUUUCAGGUUUACAUAAAAUUGAGAAAAUUUGGAUGAGGAUAAACUAAAAAUUGAGAUGAGAGUGUAAAACUUUCUUGAUUUAGGAUUAGAAAUUAAGAUAAGUAGAAAGAAAAUGGUGAAAAUGGUUGCAAGGAGAGACAUUACCUAUACCAGAUUCUCCAAAAUCUGGAAAUUCACUAUUUAGAAAUUUUUGAAGAUAUUUGAUUGAGAUAUUUGAUUGAGAUAUUUCCUAAAUAUUUUGUUGCAAUUUGUUCUAUCUAAAUUUCUAUUUUUUUUCAGGUUUACAUACUGAAAUUUGAGAAAAUAUGGAUAAGAAUAAAGUAAAAAUUUAAUUGAGAUGAGAGUGUAAAAUUUUCUUGAUUUAAAAUUAGAAAUUAAGAUGAGUAGAAAGAAAAUGGUGAAAAUGGUUGCAAGGAGAAACAAUAUUAUCUAAAAUCUCUCCAAAAUCUGGAAAUUCACUAUUUAGAAAUUUUUGGAGAUAUUUGAUUGAGAUAUUUCCUAGAUAUUUUGUUGCAAUCUAUUUAAAUUUCUUUUUUUUUCAGGUAUACUGAAGCUUGAGAAAAUUUGGAUGAGGAUAAAGUAAAAAUUUAAUUAAAAUUAGAAAUUGAGAUGAUAAUUCUUGAUUUAAAAUUAGAAAUUAAGAUGAGCAGAAAGAAAAUGGCGAAAAUGAUUGCAAGGAGAAACAAUAUUAUCUAUACCAGAUUCUCCAAAAUCUGGAAAUUCACGAUUUAGAAAUUUUUGGAGAUAUCUGAAGCUACCGUUUAUUAUAGCACGUUGCUAGAUAUUUUAUUGCAAUUUCUAUCUAAAUUUCUUUUUUUUCAGAUUUACAUACUGAGAAAAUUUGGAUGAGGAUAAAGUAAAAAUUGAGAGUGUAAAACUUUCUUAAUUUAAAAUUAGAAAUUAAAAUGAAUAAACUAGGGAGACAGUAUUAUCUGUAUUACAAGAUUCUCCAAAAUGAAAGAUAUUAAACUGCAAACAUGGGACAUUGUUAACUUUCCAGCAAUGUACGGGACAAUAUAUUUGGAUAAAGUUACGAGACUAUGAUCGGUGAGAGGUCGACGUACAGCCAGGACAAUAGAAACUCGACAAAGAAUGACUGGAUCAACGAAACUUGUGCGAACGAAUGGAGUUGUCGGAUCCGUAACUCACUCCAAAGAAUCGUGAACGACCGGUUUUCUACGCAUCGAUCGACUGGAUAAUUAUGUGGUGUCAUGGACAUACGAUAGACAAACAAAAAUCCUAUUCUCCAUUGUUAACAAGUUUAAAUAAAUCAAUAACAAAUUUAAAACGAAUAGGAUGUAUCUAAAACAACAGCAUUUUUAAAGAUAAUGGAUUUGCUUACUCGUGUUCACUUGUUCAGAGGAUAAACAAGAUUCAAUCUCAAAGAUGAUUCAGAGAUUGCAUACUCGCCGAGUGACGAGGAAUAAAAUAAAAAUGUUGAUUUCCAUUCUUA